RNAcentral lists this long non-coding RNA (260 nucleotides) under Lathyrus oleraceus (garden pea). RNAcentral's name for it is "Pisum sativum (pea) long non-coding RNA (PSAT_LNC042069)". The record is from RNAcentral. Lineage: Eukaryota; Viridiplantae; Streptophyta; Magnoliopsida; Fabales; Fabaceae.
UAACACCUCAUUUCUUUGUUGUUUUCUCCAGGAGAGUCUCUUUGUUAGACGUUCCCCGGUGGAGUGUCCGUUGUGAUUUUUACCCUUUUGCUGUAUUGGUGUAGCCCAAUAUAUGCAAUUCUUCCCCGGCAGGGAGGUUCUGUGUGAAUCUUUUUCCCUAGUUCGAGUCCAGAUUUUUAUCUGAAGUAUCCUUUGUGGAUAGUUUGAGUCAGCUUGAGUCCUUCCAAUAGAUGUGUCUUCCUUUGAAUCAUUUUCUCCCC